UACGUAGGGUGCAAGCGUUAAUCGGAAUUACUGGGCGUAAAGCGUGCGCAGGCGGUGAUGUAAGACAGGUGUGAAAUCCCCGGGCUUAACCUGGGAAUGGCAUUGGAAACUGGCUCGCUGGAAUGUGGCAGAGGGGGGUGGAAUUCCGCGUGUAGCAGUGAAAUGCGUAGAGAUGCGGAGGAACACCGAUGGCGAAGGCAGCCCCCUGGGCUAACACUGACGCUCAGGCACGAAAGCGUGGGGAGCAAACAGG
RNAcentral lists this ribosomal RNA (253 nucleotides) under uncultured bacterium. RNAcentral's name for it is "partial 16S ribosomal RNA". It matches the Rfam family "Bacterial small subunit ribosomal RNA", at positions 524 to 776 of the family's 1533-position model. The record is from RNAcentral.